GUUGAUUCAAGUGAGAAGCUGUUUCCUCACAAAAGCAGUUUAUUCAGUGUACCAAAGCUGCUUGAAAUGGAAAACCUUGGAAGCUUGUCUUAAAGUGGCUCUGUUCAAAAACUAAAAUGUCCGUUUAUGUGAGGGAGGGGCUAUUUGUACAGUAGGAGACUAAGGAGGUGGUUAUAGUGAGAAACCUGGCUUGAUCCUCCUCCUUAUAGUGUGGAAUGAUUCAGUGUCACUUUGUUUAACUAGUGUGAAGUUUUUGCCCAUGUAAAUGUGAUCCAGUGUUUCCAGUGGCAGGCUUUAUAGACAGACAGAUUGAGAGAGACUCUUGAAGGACCAGCACCACAUCUUCUUGUACCACUGUUUGAAGAAUUUAUCUUCCAGAAUCUGGCAAUGGAGUUCCCAUUGACAUGCAUUAUACGACUGACAGACUGCAACGGUUGGAGUUAAAAAUCAUCAUUUGUGUUCUACUGAAGAAACAAAGUCACCUACAUCUUGGAUGCCCUGGGGGUAAGCAGAUAAACAUCAAAUUUUCAUUUUUGGGUGAACUAUCCUUUUAAAUGCUGAAUUAAGCUCUCUUUCACAUCUUCUUGCGCUUGAAUGGACAAUUUCACACAAAAUUAUGUCAAAAUGCCCAUCUUGGUGAGGAUCCUCUAUAGUCGGUUAUAUCUUAAGUGAACGUAAACAAUCUAGAAUUAAAACACAUGUGUACAGUAUCUGUAUAUCGGAUCCGUGCAUUAGUCUUACAAUGACAGCAGCCUUAUAUUCCUGCUGUCUGUCUGUGUUUUUAAUGUUAAUUAAACAACAAACUCGCUGCAAAAAAAAAAAAAAAAAAAAAAAAAAAUCACUCAAUGCUCGACAGAAUAAUUUUUAUAACUUUACUAAGGAUUCAUCUAUAUUUAACCCUUCUGCGUCCUUAAGGACAUUUUUGUCUUUUGCUUGUUUGUUUUUUUGUUUUUGAUAAUUUUGCCUGUGUUAAUGCCAAAAGCAUAAAUUUUGGCACAAGUGUGUAUUUUAUUAUUAGAAUUUUAAUAUUUCACACUCGUUUCCUUUAAUAAUCUAUUUUACACUAGGUACACAAAAUAGUUACACUCAGGACCUUAAGGACAAAAAUGUCCCCAUUAAAACUGGAAUUUUUAAUCCUAUGGCCAUUUAACUAUAAAAUGAUACAGUUUUUGUUAAAAGGUUUUCAUUCUGUUGGCAAGACUUCAAAAUUAAAAUAUUUACUAUUUUUACCAUUUUCUUAGGUUUGUCCUAUAAAGCAAAUAUUCACUUUUUCCUGUUUUUUAUUUUCCACUUUAUUAACCAAAUGUUUUUGCUGCUGACCUUUGAUGAUCCAAUUUAACCAUACUAAUAAACAAAAAAAUUACUUUAGAUAAACAUCACAUUUCUGUUUCUUUCUUUUUGUUUGUUUGUUUUUAUUGCUGAAGUAAGAGUUGAACUUUUUUCCUCUGCAUCCUAUUUUCACGCACUAAUUUUGUACUUAAAAUACUAAAAAUUCUUCUUUAGUACUUCUUAAGAUAAUCCUAAGAAGAUCUAAGUGUACACAACUGUGCUA
Ctenopharyngodon idella (grass carp) is the source of this 1552-nucleotide long non-coding RNA. RefSeq lists it as uncharacterized. Lineage: Eukaryota; Metazoa; Chordata; Actinopteri; Cypriniformes; Xenocyprididae. The record is from RefSeq and is a predicted model, not a curated record. The transcript is spliced from 3 exons.